This 507-nucleotide ribosomal RNA is filed under the name uncultured bacterium. Its description in RNAcentral is "bacterial SSU rRNA". It matches the Rfam family "Bacterial small subunit ribosomal RNA", at positions 30 to 526 of the family's 1533-position model. The record is from RNAcentral.
AUUGAACGCUGGCGGCAUGCCUUACACAUGCAAGUCGAACGGUAACGGGCCUUCGGGUGCCGACGAGUGGCGAACGGGUGAGUAAUGUAUCGGAACGUACCUUUCAGUGGGGGAUAACGUAGCGAAAGUUACGCUAAUACCGCAUAUUCUGUGAGCAGGAAAGCAGGGGAUCGCAAGACCUUGCGCUGAUUGAGCGGCCGAUAUCAGAUUAGCUAGUUGGUGAGGUAAAGGCUCACCAAGGCGACGAUCUGUAGCGGGUCUGAGAGGAUGAUCCGCCACACUGGAACUGAGACACGGUCCAGACUCCUACGGGAGGCAGCAGUGGGGAAUUUUGGACAAUGGGGGCAACCCUGAUCCAGCCAUGCCGCGUGAGUGAAGAAGGCCUUCGGGUUGUAAAGACUCUUUCGGCCGGGAACGAAAUACGUAUGGGUUAAUAACCCUCGUGCGGAUGAGGUACCGGCACUAAGAAGCACCGGCUAACUACGUAGCCACGAGCCGCGGUAAAAC